Long non-coding RNA from Eptesicus fuscus (big brown bat), 240 nucleotides. RefSeq lists it as uncharacterized. Lineage: Eukaryota; Metazoa; Chordata; Mammalia; Chiroptera; Vespertilionidae. The transcript is spliced from 4 exons. The record is from RefSeq and is a predicted model, not a curated record.
CUCAAGUGUAAGAAGGGCAUAAUGAUCACUGGUUCAAAAAAAAAAAAUCAAGAUAAAGAUUCAGGUACUAUGGAAGAUGUGAAAGACAAAAUGCAUCCAUGUUUCCAAACUUUUUCACAGGUCUCCAAAUGGUCAUUAUAUUGAUCAUUGUCAAAAAUUUGGCUACCAAAGUGGUUACUCACCUCCAGGAUGGCUUUCCAGAUGGUGCGGAGGUGACCUGUGGAGUAACACAGAAAUGAG